GAUGAAGAACGUAGCGAAAUGCGAUAAGUAGUGUGAAUUGCAGAAUUCAGUGAAUCAUCGAAUCUUUGAACGCACAUUGCGCCCCUUGGUAUUCCAUGGGGCAUGCCUGUUCGAGCGUCAUUUGUACCUUCAAGCUUUGCUUGGUGUUGGGUGUUUGUCUCGCCUCCGCGUGUAGACUCGCCUCAAAACAAUUGGCAGCCGGCGUAUUGAUCUCGGAGCGCAGUACAUCUCGCGCUUUGCACUCACAACGACGACGUCCAAAAGUACAUUUUUACACUCUUGACCUCGGAUCAGGUAGGGAUACCCGCUGAACUUAAGCAUAUCAAUAAGCGGAGGA
RNAcentral lists this unclassified non-coding RNA (337 nucleotides) under soil metagenome. Its description in RNAcentral is "partial contains 5.8S ribosomal RNA, internal transcribed spacer 2, and large subunit ribosomal RNA". The stretch from base 1 to 120 matches the Rfam family "5.8S ribosomal RNA", at positions 35 to 154 of the family's 154-position model. The record is from RNAcentral.